Molecule: ribosomal RNA, 288 nt
Filed under: Bacillus amyloliquefaciens
Lineage: Bacteria; Bacillati; Bacillota; Bacilli; Caryophanales; Bacillaceae
Description: partial 16S ribosomal RNA
Rfam family: Bacterial small subunit ribosomal RNA
Source: RNAcentral
UUUAUCGGAGAGUUUGAUCCUGGCUCAGGACGAACGCUGGCGGCGUGCCUAAUACAUGCAAGUCGAGCGGACAGAUGGGAGCUUGCUCCCUGAUGUUAGCGGCGGACGGGUGAGUAACACGUGGGUAACCUGCCUGUAAGACUGGGAUAACUCCGGGAAACCGGGGCUAAUACCGGAUGCUUGUUUGAACCGCAUGGUUCAGACAUAAAAGGUGGCUUCGGCUACCACUUACAGAUGGACCCGCGGCGCAUUAGCUAGUUGGUGAGGUAACGGCUCACCAAGGCAACG